UCCUAGGGUUGAGAGAGUUCUUAAGGUGG
Molecule: non-coding RNA, 29 nt
Filed under: Mus musculus (house mouse)
Lineage: Eukaryota; Metazoa; Chordata; Mammalia; Rodentia; Muridae
Source: RNAcentral